RNAcentral lists this ribosomal RNA (485 nucleotides) under Bacillus amyloliquefaciens. RNAcentral's name for it is "bacterial SSU rRNA". It matches the Rfam family "Bacterial small subunit ribosomal RNA", at positions 406 to 881 of the family's 1533-position model. Lineage: Bacteria; Bacillati; Bacillota; Bacilli; Caryophanales; Bacillaceae. The record is from RNAcentral.
UGAUGAAGGUUUUCGGAUCGUAAAGCUCUGUUGUUAGGGAAGAACAAGUGCCGUUCAAAUAGGGCGGCACCUUGACGGUACCUAACCAGAAAGCCACGGCUAACUACGUGCCAGCAGCCGCGGUAAUACGUAGGUGGCAAGCGUUGUCCGGAAUUAUUGGGCGUAAAGGGCUCGCAGGCGGUUUCUUAAGUCUGAUGUGAAAGCCCCCGGCUCAACCGGGGAGGGUCAUUGGAAACUGGGGAACUUGAGUGCAGAAGAGGAGAGUGGAAUUCCACGUGUAGCGGUGAAAUGCGUAGAGAUGUGGAGGAACACCAGUGGCGAAGGCGACUCUCUGGUCUGUAACUGACGCUGAGGAGCGAAAGCGUGGGGAGCGAACAGGAUUAGAUACCCUGGUAGUCCACGCCGUAAACGAUGAGUGCUAAGUGUUAGGGGGUUUCCGCCCCUUAGUGCUGCAGCUAACGCAUUAAGCACUCCGCCGGGGGAGA